GACUUUCAAAGCACAAAGCUCUCUGACAUUUUUUUAUUUUUUAUUUUAAAUUUUUAUUUUGAAUGUUAAAUUUUUUUUUAUAAAAAUUAUCUUCAAUCAUAAAUUUAUUUUAUAGAUUCAAUCGUCAUCAUUUUUGUCGGACUUCGUUUGCCCCAGCAAUCCUGAUGAGAAACGAAAUUCUGCCGUAACUGCUACGAAACACUAAUAAUUUAUAUUGAACUCUCAAAAAAAUUUAAUGUCUCUCUAAUAGUUAGGCUGGUUCACGUGGCCGCCAGCUUUAAUCCACAAAAGAUCCC
Molecule: long non-coding RNA, 296 nt
Filed under: Elaeis guineensis (African oil palm)
Lineage: Eukaryota; Viridiplantae; Streptophyta; Magnoliopsida; Arecales; Arecaceae
Description: long non-coding RNA (EGUI_LNC029214)
Source: RNAcentral